This 250-nucleotide ribosomal RNA is filed under the name uncultured bacterium. RNAcentral describes it as "partial 16S ribosomal RNA". It matches the Rfam family "Bacterial small subunit ribosomal RNA", at positions 524 to 773 of the family's 1533-position model. The record is from RNAcentral.
UACGUAGGGAGCAAGCGUUGUCCGGAAUCACUGGGCGUAAAGAGCACGUAGGCGGCUAUUUAAGUCAGAUGUGAAAACCAAGGGCUCAACCCGUGGAUUGCAUUUGAAACUGGAUGGCUUGAGGACAGGAGAGGUAAGUGGAAUUCCUAGUGUAGCGGUGAAAUGCGUAGAUAUUAGGAGGAACACCAGUGGCGAAGGCGACUUACUGGCCUGUAACUGACGCUGAGGUGCGAAAGCGUGGGGAGCGAAC